ACCCAUGAUUUCCGUAUGUAGACUGUAAUCUUUUAAUCUACUUUCGAAGCUUUGGAUACUCACAAUAAAUGCCAGCCAUUAGCAACAAACUUUUUAGGUCCUCCAGCACGUACAUUGUUAGCCAUUGCUUGUAAAUUUAUUAAGUUACUAGUGGUUUGUCCGCGUUUCGUGCGGGCUGUUCGGUUUAAAAUUUAUGAUUUUGUUGGAUAAUUUUCAUUGUCAAUAGAUAUAGAGCUUUUAAUAUGGUUGUAUUUUAUGUGUUUGGCAUGCUAGUGUAAAGUUUUAUGUAAUGUGUGUAUCGUAAAUAUAGUGGGUGUAACAUAGUAAAUGUUUUGGCUUAGGGUUGUCUUUAAGGUCAUAGAGAGGGGAUUGAUGAAAGAAGGGGAAAUGUUACUAUGAAUUUGUGGAAAAUACUAAGCAAAAACUUUGAUAUUUCCCAAUAGUGAAAUAGUAUUUGGCUAUGAUAUUUGCCAAUUUUUAAUAUUCUGUAUAGUAUAAAGAUGUUGAGAACUUGUAGCCUAAUGUUGUUUGUAAACAAUAUGGCUCAGGGGAGGUUUGUUUUGGUGAAUUUUUUCUUGCACGUGUUUGUGUAUUGUUUUUUCAUAUUUUUUCUAUAAAAUUU
This 622-nucleotide long non-coding RNA is filed under the name Brassica napus (rape). RNAcentral describes it as "long non-coding RNA (BNAP_LNC026864)". The record is from RNAcentral. Lineage: Eukaryota; Viridiplantae; Streptophyta; Magnoliopsida; Brassicales; Brassicaceae.